Molecule: non-coding RNA, 327 nt
Organism: Penaeus vannamei (Pacific white shrimp)
Lineage: Eukaryota; Metazoa; Arthropoda; Malacostraca; Decapoda; Penaeidae
Source: RefSeq, a predicted model, not a curated record
GACGUCAGUACAUGACGUCAGGCACUUCCUCGCCGGCAAACGCGCGCAUAUAUAUGCUUGCAAACACAUCCACGUGCAUCUCACACCUCUUGCUGCUUACGCCAAGUCGUAUCUCGACGCAGACGCUUCCAUCAUGAAUACGUUGACGAUCGUGUUGGUGGCGGCAUUCGCUGUAGUCGCGAGCGGAAUGAAAGACGGCCAUCCCAAUGACCAGGAGUUCCACCACACUCUUCAUGAAGCUAAAACGAUGUGCAUGGAUAUUAUGAUGCCAUCCCAAGACGAAAUGAGUAACAUGAAAGAAAAAAUGAAAGAGUGCCUCGAAAAAGA